RNAcentral lists this ribosomal RNA (253 nucleotides) under uncultured bacterium. RNAcentral describes it as "partial 16S ribosomal RNA". It matches the Rfam family "Bacterial small subunit ribosomal RNA", at positions 524 to 776 of the family's 1533-position model. The record is from RNAcentral.
GACGUAGGGCGCGAGCGUUGUCCGGAUUUAUUGGGCGUAAAGAGCUCGUAGGCGGUUUGUCGCGUCUGCCGUGAAAGUCCGGGGCUCAACUCCGGAUCUGCGGUGGGUACGGGCAGACUAGAGUGAUGUAGGGGAGACUGGAAUUCCUGGUGUAGCGGUGAAAUGCGCAGAUAUCAGGAGGAACACCGAUGGCGAAGGCGGUGGUCUGGGCCGGUACUGACGCUGAGGAGCAAAAGCGUGGGGAGCGAACAGG